RNAcentral lists this ribosomal RNA (466 nucleotides) under uncultured bacterium. RNAcentral's name for it is "partial 16S ribosomal RNA". It matches the Rfam family "Bacterial small subunit ribosomal RNA", at positions 28 to 507 of the family's 1533-position model. The record is from RNAcentral.
GACGAACGCUGGCGGCGCGCCUAACACAUGCAAGUCGAACGAGCGAGAGAGAGCUUGCUUUCUCGAGCGAGUGGCGAACGGGUGAGUAACGCGUGAGGAACCUGCCUCAAAGAGGGGGACAACAGUUGGAAACGACUGCUAAUACCGCAUAAGCCCACGGCUCGGCCUCGAGCAGGGGGAAAAGGAGCAAUCCGCUUUGAGAUGGCCUCGCGUCCGAUUCGCUAGUUGGUGGGGUAACGGCCCACCAAGGCGACGAUCGGUAGCCGGACUGAGAGGUUGAACGGCCACAUUGGGACUGAGACACGGCCCAGACUCCUACGGGAGGCAGCAGUGGGGAAUAUUGCACAAUGGGGGAAACCAUGAUGCAGCGACGCCGCGUGGAGGAAGAAGGUCUUCGGAUUGUAAACUCCUGUUGUUGGGGAAGAUAAUGACGGUACCCAACAAGGAAGUGACGGCUAACUACGUG